RNAcentral lists this ribosomal RNA (497 nucleotides) under uncultured bacterium. RNAcentral's name for it is "partial 16S ribosomal RNA". It matches the Rfam family "Bacterial small subunit ribosomal RNA", at positions 28 to 507 of the family's 1533-position model. The record is from RNAcentral.
GAUGAACGCUGGCGGCGUGCCUAAUACAUGCAAGUCGAGCGAACAGACGAGGAGCUUGCUCCUCUGACGUUAGCGGCGGACGGGUGAGUAACACGUGGAUAACCUACCUAUAAGACUGGGAUAACUUCGGGAAACCGGAGCUAAUACCGGAUAAUAUAUUGAACCGCAUGGUUCAAUAGUGAAAGACGGUUUUGCUGUCACUUAUAGAUGGAUCCGCGCCGCAUUAGCUAGUUGGUAAGGUAACGGCUUACCAAGGCGACGAUGCGUAGCCGACCUGAGAGGGUGAUCGGCCACACUGGAACUGAGACACGGUCCAGACUCCUACGGGAGGCAGCAGUAGGGAAUCUUCCGCAAUGGGCGGAAGCCUGACGGAGCAACGCCGCGUGGGUGAUGAAGGUCUUCGGAUCGUAAAACUCUGUUAUUAGGGAAGAACAAAUGUGGAAGUAACUAUGCACGUCUUGACGGUACCUAAUCAGAAAGCCACGGCUAACUACGUG